AAAAUAAUCCUACCCUUUGUGAAUUUUGUUUGUUUGAAUAAUUUUUUUUUUUAAAAAAUUAUUGGAGUCUUUCCCUUUAGAGUCUGCUUUUGAGUUUGUAAAAGAAUUCGAAAACAUCUAAAGGGGAUGGUCAAUAAUUUUUUUUGAAAAAAGACAUUUUUUAAAAUUAAACUUUUUGUAUUCAUUUGUCUAAAAAUUAUUUUUAUAAUAUAAAAACAACUUUUGACAAUGGAUCUCUUGGUUCUCGCAACGAUGAAGAACGCAGCAAAAUGCGAUAAGUAGUGUGAAUUGCAGAAUACGUGAAUCAUCGAAUCUUUGAACGCAUAUUGCACUUUUUUAGUUUACUAAAAAAGUAUGUCUGUUUGAGUAUCAGUAAAAUAUUCUCAUAAAAAUCAUUGUGUAUUUUUAUGGUUAUGAGUGUUUUACAACGAUACAAGUUGUUUCACUUUAAAUUUUUUUUUAAUAUUGAAAUUUUUCUAAUUUUAAUAAUUAAAAUUGGAUAAAAUUUUCCCGUCAAAAGGAAUAACCUAAACAAUUUUAAAUGAUUAAUUUUAGCAAAAUUUUCGAUAAAAAGGAAAAUUUUUAUUAAAAUAACUUGAUCUCAAAUCAGAUAAGAGUACCCGCUGAACUUAAGCAUAUCAAUAAGCGGAGGAAAAGAAACUAACAAGGAUUCCCUUAGUAACGGCGAGUGAAGCGGGAAGAGCUCAAAUUUGAAAUCUUCAAGGUUUUACCUUGACGAAUUGUAGUUUAAAGAAGUGUUUUCUGCUGGAGUUUUGGUAAAAGUUCUUUGGAAUAGGACAUCAUAGAGGGUGAGAAUCCCGUAUUUGACCAUUAUUUUCAGCUUUGUGAUACACUUUCAAAGAGUCGGAUUGUUUGGGAAUGCAGUCCAAAAUGGGUGGUAAAUUUCAUCUAAAGCUAAAUAUUGGCGAGAGACCGAUAGCGAACAAGUACCGUGAGGGAAAGAUGAAAAGAACUUUGAAAAGAGAGUUAAACAGUACGUGAAAUUGUCAAAAGGGAAGCGUUUGACACCAGUGUUGUUUUCUCGAAAAUCAAUUAAAAAUGGCUCGAUUUUGUAUUGCUGAGACCUUAAAAGCUCACUGUACAUUUUUCGUGUCUUUUUUAAUGCACUUUUCGUUUAACAAGUCAACAUCAGUUUCUUUUGUUGUAAAAGGGUCAUUGGAAGGUGGCUUUCUUUUCGGAGAAAGUGUUUAUAGCCUUUGGCCUCUGCAAUCGGAGAGACUGAGGUCUGCAGCGUAGACUCUUCGGGGUUAGAUACAUUUGUGCUAAGUUAUAGCUUUUUAUAGACAACUUGUUGACUAUAAUUAGUCUUGUAGCUUACUCGCUUAUGCUAUUUUACCUACGCUUAGGAUG
This 1371-nucleotide unclassified non-coding RNA is filed under the name uncultured Neocallimastigales. RNAcentral describes it as "partial contains internal transcribed spacer 1, 5.8S ribosomal RNA, internal transcribed spacer 2, and large subunit ribosomal RNA". The stretch from base 597 to 1371 matches the Rfam family "Eukaryotic large subunit ribosomal RNA", at positions 1 to 626 of the family's 3401-position model. Lineage: Eukaryota; Fungi; Neocallimastigomycota; Neocallimastigomycetes; Neocallimastigales. The record is from RNAcentral.